RNAcentral lists this long non-coding RNA (259 nucleotides) under Setaria viridis. RNAcentral's name for it is "long non-coding RNA (SVIR_LNC002840)". The record is from RNAcentral. Lineage: Eukaryota; Viridiplantae; Streptophyta; Magnoliopsida; Poales; Poaceae.
UUAGUUUAAACCGUGCGUGAAGCUACUUAACCACCUCUGUGGUAUACUACUUUAGUGUAUUUAUCACGAAUCGUCGCGCACACAAACAUUACUGAAGCUUUUUAUAUUAGUUCUUGGAGAGAAUAUAGUGGAGUGCUUUUGGUUGUACGACCGUGACGGGUCUAGUUGGAUCCGACCGGACCCCAUAGGCCCUGCCGCCCAAUCCAACAGAACACAGCAGACAGAGUAGUAGUAGUAGUUCCCAACAAAAAAAGAGUCG